UACGUAGGGUGCAGGCGCUAAUCGGAAUUACUGGGCGUAAAGCGUGCGCAGGCGGUUUGCUAAGAGAGAUGUGAAAUCCCCGGGCUUAACCUGGGAACUGCGUUUCUAACUGGCAGGCUUGAGUGUGGCAGAGGGGGGUGGAAUUCCACGUGUAGCAGUGAAAUGCGUAGAUAUGUGGAGGAACACCGAUGGCGAAGGCAGCCCCCUGGGCUAACACUGACGCUCAUGCACGAAAGCGUGGGGAGCAAACAGG
Molecule: ribosomal RNA, 253 nt
Filed under: uncultured bacterium
Lineage: Bacteria
Description: partial 16S ribosomal RNA
Rfam family: Bacterial small subunit ribosomal RNA
Source: RNAcentral